This is a long non-coding RNA of Magnolia sinica, 2174 nucleotides long. RefSeq lists it as uncharacterized. The transcript has 3 exons. The record is from RefSeq and is a predicted model, not a curated record. Lineage: Eukaryota; Viridiplantae; Streptophyta; Magnoliopsida; Magnoliales; Magnoliaceae.
CUUAUUUUUGGUAUUAUGCCCUAAAAAUAACUCGUAAAAUGCAUGGAUGGCAUGGAUAAACCACAUACAUCAUGAUGGGCCACACGGAGUGCCUGCUAGCACCGUCCGUCUCCAACUUCAUCUCGUGCACAAAAGAGAGAUGCCCGCACCCAAAAAAAUAGCCCCCCACGCCCAAAUCAGAGAAACCCUAACCUUCGAAUGCCCUCUCUCUCACGCCUCUUCCUCCCUCUCAAUCUCUUUCUCACGCCUUUUCCUCCAUCUCAAUCUCUCUCAGCCUCUUCCUGCCUCUCAAUCUCUCUCCCGCCUCUCCCUUUCUCUCCAAUACCAGUAACAACCCUUGCUUCCUAUUACGUCCAUCUAUCUUUAAUUUUUUUUCUUUGAUUUUUUCUUUUUCUCUUCUCAUUUUAGGUUUUUUGAUGCCCUAAUCAAUUUCUUUUUCUCUUCUCAUUUCAGGUUUUCUGAUGCCCUAUUAACGACCUUAUUUUUGUACAUAGAGAAGCAGAGACAAGCAUUACGCUUAUCCAAUUUCAACAACCUCUAAUCGAAUCCCAUGGGAUUUCUAUGUAUUUUUCUAGAAAGAGCCUUGAAAUUUUCACAAGGGUGUAUUGGAGAGCAGAACCUGGAGAUAAGAAGUUGAAACUGAAUUAAGGUACAUGGUUGAUCAAGGCACAUUGACUAAGAUGAACCCAUUUCUUGAAGAUGCAUUUAAUUCAUCAUGCGAAGGAAUCGUGGUAAAAUCUCUAUAUAUUGAUGUUGGGUACAUGGCAUCAAAGCGCAUAGAAACAUGGUUAAAGGUAUUUUAGUUUGAUACCAGAUUCAAGAAUCUUUAGAAACUAAAUAAUGGUGUUAUUUGCAAUGGUAAUCUCUUAAAUUCUAAUACAAGAUUUCCCAUUUAGGUGAAAUGGGAUUAUUUGGAUGGUUUGAAUGACACUCUUGAUUUAGUCCCUAUUGGUGCUUGUCAUGGAAAUGGGAGAAAGGCAGGAUGGUAUGGAUCUGAGAACCAUUUUAGUUGAUUCUCUCUCAUCAUGACUCCCGCCACUCUCUUCCAUUCCUAAGAUGCUGAUUUUUAGGGUUUCUAUAUAUAUGUUUCCUUAUCAUUUUAGAUGGUUUGAUUGAUGGAUUUGUUCAUUUUCUAGUCUGGUGCUAUUUUGAUGUACCUCCUUCAGUCCACUCAAUGUGGAAAGGGGUUUCUGAAUUUUCAAAACAAAAUUCCUUUGAUCUUUUGAUGAUGUGUACUCCUCGUAAUAGCUUUGUGCUUUACUUGAAAAGAAACAGAAAUAUGGUUUGUAGAUGGGUCCUUGUAAGAAUAUAAAGGAUUCUGGUUCUGUUUCUUACUCCCACUAGAGUUAGCUGUAUAUUGUAAUCUGUAGGACAAUAUGUUCAGGAACUCUAAAUUGACCAUUGCAUAUAGGCAAUCAUUUAACUAGUUGCAUUACUUUCAACUUUUUUGUUUCUCCGUUUAAUAGUUUUUGACAAUAGUAAAGGUGUACAGUGUUUAAUGUAAAAUACUGAACAACAGAACUCGGCACCACUGCCAAAGAAAGUGUACAUAUGUCCUCCAUGCUGUCCGUCAGGUGUGCACUGUGCUGCCUCAUCUAUUCAGAAACCAAAUAUUGGGUCAGUCCAAAACUCCAGUAGGCCAUUCCAUAAGGAAGAGUAGAGAUGGAAUGCAUAGCGUUAGUUGUAAAUGGGCCCACCCAAUCUAUUCAUAUGAUUCUUCUCACCAAGAUGAAGGUACUCUCCAAAAAUCACAAUAUUAUGAAAAUCAGGUGGAUCCCAUCACGUGAAUUUACAGGUUUUAGGCAGGUUUUACACUCUUGCAAUGGUGAGACUCACCUGAGUUUUGUCGACUUCUGGUGAAAAGUUGUGAAAUGAUCAGCAUAAUUCUGUUUAUUUGGUUUAGAAUAGACGGAAGCGUGAAAUUAGGAUUUCCUUAGUUGUAGGAGCAACGGCAUCGCUAUGGGCCAUCUUUGCACAACCUUACCAAUAUGGUGCUUUCAAUUCGGUUGUUUCUUCUUCUUUCGUGGAGGCAUUUCAAGGCAAGAAAAUUGUUCCAUGAAUUGGCAAAGUUUGAUGAGAAAAAGUGAAGCUGCCGCAGGCGUCUAUCUGAUCACAAUGCACAAUGUUACAAGCUGAUUGCAUGAAGGAUUGUAAUUAAUUCAUUAUUGAAUGAA